ACGCGAAGAACCUUACCUGGUCUUGACAUCCACAGAACUUUCCAGAGAUGGAUUGGUGCCUUCGGGAACUGUGAGACAGGUGCUGCAUGGCUGUCGUCAGCUCGUGUUGUGAAAUGUUGGGUUAAGUCCCGCAACGAGCGCAACCCUUAUCCUUUGUUGCCAGCGGUUCGGCCGGGAACUCAAAGGAGACUGCCAGUGAUAAACUGGAGGAAGGUGGGGAUGACGUCAAGUCAUCAUGGCCCUUACGACCAGGGCUACACACGUGCUACAAUGGCAUAUACAAAGAGAAGCGACCUCGCGAGAGCAAGCGGACCUCAUAAAGUAUGUCGUAGUCCGGAUUGGAGUCUGCAACUCGACUCCAUGAAGUCGGAAUCGCUAGUAAUCGUAGAUCAGAA
This 395-nucleotide ribosomal RNA is filed under the name Klebsiella pneumoniae IS10. Its description in RNAcentral is "SSU rRNA". It matches the Rfam family "Bacterial small subunit ribosomal RNA", at positions 959 to 1354 of the family's 1533-position model. Lineage: Bacteria; Pseudomonadati; Pseudomonadota; Gammaproteobacteria; Enterobacterales; Enterobacteriaceae. The record is from RNAcentral.